RNAcentral lists this ribosomal RNA (250 nucleotides) under uncultured bacterium. Its description in RNAcentral is "partial 16S ribosomal RNA". It matches the Rfam family "Bacterial small subunit ribosomal RNA", at positions 524 to 773 of the family's 1533-position model. The record is from RNAcentral.
UACGGAGGAUGCGAGCGUUAUCCGGAUUUAUUGGGUUUAAAGGGUGCGUAGGCGGAUUGAUAAGUCAGUGGUGAAACCCUGCAGCUUAACUGUAGGCUUGCCGUUGAUACUGUCAGUCUUGAGUGUGGUCAAGGUAGGCGGAAUGUGUAAUGUAGCGGUGAAAUGCUUAGAUAUUACACAGAACACCGAUUGCGAAGGCAGCUUGCUGGACCAUUACUGACGCUGAUGCACGAAAGCGUGGGGAUCGAAC